This is a long non-coding RNA of Macrosteles quadrilineatus (aster leafhopper), 294 nucleotides long. RefSeq lists it as uncharacterized. The transcript has 3 exons. The record is from RefSeq and is a predicted model, not a curated record. NCBI's taxonomy places the organism in Eukaryota, Metazoa, Arthropoda, Insecta, Hemiptera, Cicadellidae.
UUGGGUUCUCCAGUAGUGGCUUCUUCUGGGUACUCUUUUCACUCUCCACCUCUGCGGGACAGAAAUGUCUGCAGGAGAAGUAUACCAGGCUGAUGACCAUCUGGAACAAAUUACAUUUGAUAGAGCUGAAAAAAGGAAAAAAAACAAAAAUAUCAGUACGAUAUUUUUUUGGAUCAGCGCUAAAGUAGGAGGAUAAACAAUUUGGGAACCAAGGAUGGUAACCUACAGACCACUACGGAAGUGAUUGAAAGAUGCAAACAAUUAUUCAUCAUUAAAAAAAUUCCUAUUUGCUAC